CCUGCCUGCUGCAGGCUGAGCUGGUGAACUACGAGCGAGUCAAGGAGUAUUGCCUCAAAGUCCUGAAGAAGGAAGGAGAGAACUUCAAGGCCCUUUACCGGUCUGGUGUGGCCUUCUACCACCUUGGAGACUAUGACAAAGCACUCUACUACCUGAAAGAAGCAAGGACCCGACAGCCAACAGACACCAACGUGGUCCGGUACAUCCAGCUGACGGAGAUGAAACUCAGCAGGUGCUCGCAGAGAGAGAAGGAAGCCAUGUAACAGCCGCAGCGGCCCCAGAGCGGGGCCUUGCAGGCAGCCCCCUGGAAGGGGUGAAGAGCCCCUCCUGGGCUGGGUUCCCUGCUCCCCACUUCUGGCUCCCCCUUCUUCUUCCUGCUGCCCCUCAACAAUCCAUCUGCUCCCAGUGUGAAAAGAAGAGAGACCUGCAGCUUUGGAACCUGGCAGGUUGCUGCCACGGAGACUCCCCUUCUGUAGCAGGUCAGCUACUGGCAGGGCCCUAACUUCUUCGGGGACAGCUGGAGAGGACUCUUACAGGGCCGAGAAUGCUGCUGCAACUUUGACUUUGGCCAGGGCUUCUGAGAGAGCCAGAGCCCGGCAGGUGGACCAUCCCAACGGCAGCAGGCACGGAGCCCACGGGCUGGACCCCUCCACACUUUCCAGACAGACCAGAGCAUCUCAAGGCAACCGUGACAAAUCCAGGGAUGAGACAAACAGCAGAAGCAUCGGAUGUCACUGCUGGACUGUACCUGGAGCACUAAUCCUGGAUCUGACCUGCUUUGUCAUUUCCUGCUUGGACUUUUGUGAUAGACUCUUUGGGGAAAAGAUUAUACUUUUCUUGUUAUUGUUAUGAAAGCCUCACAUGUGUAUUGUAGAAAUUUUAAUGGGGGCGGGAGAGACAAACUCCAAUCCAUCAUCUACCACCCAAGACAAACAUUGCUAUCCUUUUGGACUUAUCUUUCAGUUCUUUUUGGUAUAAAUGUACACAUGCACAUGCAGUUUUUUUUAACAAAAACUGGAUUAUACUGUAUAUAUACUCUUUAGUAACUUACUUUUCAAAAUGUGUAUUUAUAUUUUAGAAUAUGUAAUACAUACACAGAUACAAAAUUCAAAAAGGACACAAAGCUCUAUAGUAAGAAGUAAAUCUCCUUCCCACCCCAUCUGCCAGCAUCUAGUUUCCCUCCAAUUACUUGUACUGUAUAUCCUUCCAGAAACAUUUAUGCAUUUUCAAAUAUAUGUGUAUAUAUUCUCUUGUCAUAAAUGGUAGCAUAUCAGACUUUUUUUUUUUUUUUUUUUUUGCACUUUGGGCUACUUCACUUACUAGAGCAUGAACGAAACAUUUUUUGUGUGUCUCCCAAACUUUCUCAACAGCAUCCUCAUUAUGCAGCUAGACUCUCACUUGGUAACCCGUCUCCUUUCAGUGACUAUUUCAUUUGUUCCCAUUCUCUAUUGUAAAUAAUGUUGCAGCAGACAUUCUUGUAGCUAAAUUUUGCACACACCUAUGGCUAUCUCCUUGGGAUAAAAUCCAAGAAGGAAAUUGCUUGGCUAUCUUUAAGAAUUUUGAUAUAUGCUGCCAACUGCCCUCGGAAAGUCUGUACUAAACUUCACACUCUCCUGUUUGCAGGCUUGAGAGUGCCCCGUUCCCUGCAACCUCACUAACAGUGGGUAUGGUCACUUACCAAAUCUUUACCAGUCCAGUAGGAAAAUAAUACUAUGUCAAUGUUAUUUGAACUCACUUCUUUGAUUA
Ursus maritimus (polar bear) is the source of this 1746-nucleotide long non-coding RNA. Lineage: Eukaryota; Metazoa; Chordata; Mammalia; Carnivora; Ursidae. The record is from Ensembl.